RNAcentral lists this ribosomal RNA (1138 nucleotides) under Brinjal little leaf phytoplasma. RNAcentral describes it as "bacterial SSU rRNA". It matches the Rfam family "Bacterial small subunit ribosomal RNA", at positions 192 to 1343 of the family's 1533-position model. Lineage: Bacteria; Bacillati; Mycoplasmatota; Mollicutes; Acholeplasmatales; Acholeplasmataceae. The record is from RNAcentral.
ACCUUCUUACGAAGGUAUGCUUAAAGAGGGGCUUGCGCCACAUUAGUUAGUUGGUAGAGUAAAAGCCUACCAAGACGAUGAUGUGUAGCUGGACUGAGAGGUUGAACAGCCACAUUGGGACUGAGACACGGCCCAAACUCCUACGGGAGGCAGCAGUAGGGAAUUUUCGGCAAUGGAGGAAACUCUGACCGAGCAACGCCGCGUGAACGAUGAAGUAUUUCGGUAUGUAAAGUUCUUUUAUUGAAGAAGAAAAAGUAGUGGAAAAACUAUAUUGACGUUAUUCAAUGAAUAAGCCCCGGCUAACUAUGUGCCAGCAGCCGCGGUAAGACAUAGGGGGCGAGCGUUAUCCGGAAUUAUUGGGCGUAAAGGGUGCGUAGGCUGUUAGAUAAGUCUAUAAUUUAAUUUCAGUGCUUAACGCUGUCUUGUUAUAGAAACUGUCUUGACUAGAGUGAGAUAGAGGCAAGCGGAAUUCCAUGUGUAGCGGUAAAAUGUGUAAAUAUAUGGAGGAACACCAGAAGCGUAGGCGGCUUGCUGGGUCUUUACUGACGCUGAGGCACGAAAGCGUGGGUAGCAAACAGGAUUAGAUACCCUGGUAGUCCACGCCGUAAACGAUGAGUACUAAGUGUCGGGGUAAAACUCGGUACUGAAGUUAACACAUUAAGUACUCCGCCUGAGUAGUACGUACGCAAGUAUGAAACUUAAAGGAAUUGACGGGACUCCGCACAAGCGGUGGAUCAUGUUGUUUAAUUCGAAGAUACACGAAAAAUCUUACCAGGUCUUGACAUACUCUGCAAAGCUAUAGAAAUAUAGUGGAGGUUAUCAGGGAUACAGGUGGUGCAUGGUUGUCGUCAGUUCGUGUCGUGAGAUGUUAGGUUAAGUCCUAAAACGAACGCAACCCUUGUCGUUAAUUGCCAGCACAUAAUGGUGGGGACUUUAACGAGACUGCCAAUUAAACAUUGGAGGAAGGUGAGGAUUACGUCAAAUCAUCAUGCCCCUUAUGAUCUGGGCUACAAACGUGAUCCAAUGGCUGUGACAAAGAGUAGCUGAAACGCGAGUUUUUAGCCAAUCUCAAAAAAGCAGUCUCAGUUCGGAUUGAAGUCUGUAACUCGACUUCAUGAAGUUGGAAUCGCUAGUAAUC